UACCGCUCAUAACCACUACACCACACUGGCUCCUGUACUGAAUAGUACAGGAAGUGCAUGCUGGGAGCCAGUAUGGUGUAGUGGUUAGAGUGUUGGA
Molecule: non-coding RNA, 97 nt
Organism: Podarcis lilfordi (Lilford's wall lizard)
Lineage: Eukaryota; Metazoa; Chordata; Lepidosauria; Squamata; Lacertidae
Source: the annotation of a GenBank genome assembly